RNAcentral lists this long non-coding RNA (285 nucleotides) under Homo sapiens (human). RNAcentral describes it as "HSALNT0360997". Lineage: Eukaryota; Metazoa; Chordata; Mammalia; Primates; Hominidae. The record is from RNAcentral.
AUUCUUCCAGCCUGCAUGGGGGUGCUGAGCUGGGGGCAGGGCCCUGCCCAGAGGCAGAUGCUGAGGCCUCCACUUCCAGUCCUGGAGGGACCCCAAGCCUCACAGUGAGUGCUGCGGAUGCAGAGCCCUCGUCCCUCGAGUUACCCGGCAUUAUACCACACACCUCUCUGCAUCAUGCUAGCAGGAAGCACUGCUCUGUGACAGACAGAGGACCCCAGCUGCUGAUGAUGCCAUGCUCGAUGGGGUACUUCAGGGUCAGGAUGCCUCUCUCGCUCUGGGCCUCGC